RNAcentral lists this ribosomal RNA (295 nucleotides) under uncultured bacterium. RNAcentral describes it as "partial 16S ribosomal RNA". It matches the Rfam family "Bacterial small subunit ribosomal RNA", at positions 355 to 643 of the family's 1533-position model. The record is from RNAcentral.
UAGGGAAUCUUCCACAAUGGACGCAAGUCUGAUGGAGCAACGCCGCGUGAGUGAAGAAGGUUUUCGGACCGUAAAGCUCUGUUGUUGGUGAAGAAGGAUAGAGGUAGUAACUGGCCUUUAUUUGACGGUAAUCAACCAGAAAGUCACGGCUAACUACGUGCCAGCAGCCGCGGUAAUACGUAGGUGGCAAGCGUUGUCCGGAUUUAUUGGGCGUAAAGCGAGCGCAGGCGGAAGAAUAAGUCUGAUGUGAAAGCCCUCGGCUUAACCGAGGAAUUGCAUCGGAAACUGUUUUCUU